UACGUAGGGUGCAAGCGUUGUCCGGAAUUAUUGGGCGUAAAGAGCUCGUAGGCGGUUUGUUGCGUCGGCUGUGAAAUCCCGAGGCUCAACCUCGGGUCUGCAGUCGAUACGAGCAAACUAGAGUGUUGCAGGGGAGACUGGAAUUCCUGGUGUAGCGGUGAAAUGCGCAGAUAUCAGGAAGAACACCCGUGGCGAAGGCGGCUCUCUGGGACGGUACUGACGCUGAGGCACGAAAGCGUGGGGAGCAAACAGG
RNAcentral lists this ribosomal RNA (253 nucleotides) under uncultured bacterium. RNAcentral's name for it is "partial 16S ribosomal RNA". It matches the Rfam family "Bacterial small subunit ribosomal RNA", at positions 524 to 776 of the family's 1533-position model. The record is from RNAcentral.